AUAUUAAUGAAAUAUAUACAUAUACGGGGAAUAUACUAAUCGCGGUCAACCCUUUUAGAAGAUUGCCUCACUUAUAUGAUAGCCAUAUGAUGGCCCAAUAUAAAGGUGCCGCAUUUGGAGAGCUGAGCCCUCAUCCUUUUGCUCUUGCAGAUGCAGCAUACAGACUUAUGAUUAAUGAAGGAGUAAGUCAAUCAAUAUUGGUUAGCGGGGAGAGUGGGGCUGGCAAAACAGAAAGCA
This 237-nucleotide unclassified non-coding RNA is filed under the name Hevea brasiliensis (rubber tree). Lineage: Eukaryota; Viridiplantae; Streptophyta; Magnoliopsida; Malpighiales; Euphorbiaceae. The record is from RNAcentral.